CUUCACAUGAUCCCAUGCCCUUCUCUGAACAUAAUACUUGUGUUUCAAGCGUGCCUUUUGCUACUCUCAUCUGCCUGUUCAUCAUUUGCUUCAUAUCUCAAGCCUAAUUCCAGGUGAUGAGCGAUGAGUUGGAGCUGUUGGCCUUGGCACGUGCGGCCAAACCGAGGGAUCCCACCGUUGUCAAUUGCUGUGCUGGCGUUGUCUGUCUUUGGGUCCUAGUCCUAGGCCAGUUUCCAAACAUGGCGUCCCGGAACGGCGGAACCCCACAUGGAAGAACCAGCUGCACAUGAAAGUACUGUGCUCACUGUUCACACUUCCAUCCAGAGUUGCAUGAAGGUACUGUGCUUCCAAAGUAUUGGAUAGAGUUUCGAUACGGCAUGUGCUGUGCUGCGCAUCUCUUGAGCAUUUCACAUUUUUGGCGACGAUAAUGUUUAUCUUCUUUCUUUUCGGGGAAGUGUUCCUAAUUCCAGUGUUUGGUCCAAUCCUAAUUGAUUUGGCUUGUGCUGUGGAUC
Molecule: long non-coding RNA, 512 nt
Organism: Setaria italica (foxtail millet)
Lineage: Eukaryota; Viridiplantae; Streptophyta; Magnoliopsida; Poales; Poaceae
Exons: 2
Source: RefSeq, a predicted model, not a curated record